RNAcentral lists this ribosomal RNA (271 nucleotides) under uncultured archaeon. RNAcentral's name for it is "partial 16S ribosomal RNA". It matches the Rfam family "Archaeal small subunit ribosomal RNA", at positions 477 to 747 of the family's 1478-position model. The record is from RNAcentral.
CGGCAGCCCGAGUGGUGAUCACUAUUAUUGGGUCUAAAGGGUCCGUAGCCGGUUUGAUCAGUCUUUUGGGAAAUCUGACAGCUUAACUGUUAGGCUUCCAAAGGAUACUGUCAGACUUGGGACCGGGAGAGGUAAGAGGUACUACAGGGGUAGGAGUGAAAUCUUGUAAUCCUGGGGGGACCACCAGUGGCGAAGGCGUCUAGCUAGAACGGGUCUGACGGUGAGGGACGAAGCCCUGGGGCGCAAACCGGAUUAGAGACCCGAGUAGUCC